This is a long non-coding RNA of Zingiber officinale, 3451 nucleotides long. RefSeq lists it as uncharacterized. The record is from RefSeq and is a predicted model, not a curated record. The transcript has 9 exons. NCBI's taxonomy places the organism in Eukaryota, Viridiplantae, Streptophyta, Magnoliopsida, Zingiberales, Zingiberaceae.
CACCUCUUUCCUUUCUUCAGCGACUCCAGCUCCGACUCCUCGACUCUUCUGCUCCCCCUCCGACGGCUACUUGAGAGAGAGAAACUCAAAGAGCAACAAUGUUACGAGGGGAAGAACCCUAGCAAGAGGCUCAAGCAGAAGGCAUCGCCCAUGGCCGGGGCCGACCCUGGAAACCUAGCAGGAAAAUGAAGAAGCUCGUUUGGGAGCGGGCCCUGGAGUAUCACUCUGACUAGGACGACGAAGUCGACGAGGAAGUUCUGGAGGAGCCUUCGAGCGACGCGGAGCAGGAUAAGGAAGAACAGAAGGACGGUUUGGGCGUCGGGGAUAACGGGAGCGACAGUUGCGAAGUCUAUGAUGAGGAGGACGGGGAUGGAGUGAAGCAUGGCAUCUCCCGGUUUGUCGAGGGUUGAGGGAUUUGGAUCGCUGUUUCUAAGAUUAUGAAGAGGCGCCUCUGGGAUGAUUCCCUUUUCAUAAGAAGCUUGUUGCAGAAAAUCUUGCAUAAGAGGAUACAGCUACUUAAGAAAGGGGAGACGAGAAGGAGAAAAAAAAGAUGCUUAGUGUGAUUAAUUACCAGACUUGUCACACAAUUGCCUCCCCGUUCUGUUGCUUUCAUUACGGAUUGGUAGGUGCAGUAUUUAUGUGCUUUCACAUUUUUCAUUCUGCAUAUGCGACCAGGCAGCCGAGAAGGGGCACGCUAAAGUGGAGAAUUUUUUGAACGCAAACGAGGAGUUUCUUAAAGGAAGUAAUCUCUGGCUUCCAAAGGAUGUGACCUAACAUCUUUGCAAAUUAUGUCAUUCUAGCCAUUUACUGUGCUACAGUACUUUCCCCUCGAACUAAAAAGUCUUCAUCUUGCAUGUGUGAUUCUUUGCUGGAUUAUCAGUUGUGAAGUUAUUUAUGCAGUCAGUAAAGCACAGAGUUGCCAGAAUGGCUUGAGUCCUUUGAGCUCCAUAGGUGCUAAAGUUGAUCAUUUUUUUGGUACUAGAAGGUGAAGAUACUUCCAUGUCUGGUCUAUAAUCUCAUCCUGUGUUAGACAGCAUGGUCAAAUGUACCUUUUUGGUAAAUUACCAACAUCGAUUACUCACUGACAUGUUUUGGCAAAAAGAAGAAAGCAAGCAUUUUUUCAGAGCUACAAAAGGCAACAACCUAGGUGUUUGGGCUUCGCCCGACUAAUCUUGGAGGUAGAUAGCCUUCCCCUUGGUUCUCCUACCGAGUAAAUCUGGAGUACAACUUAUGCACAUUUAGAAAUCUUAAGGUAGAUGAUUAUUUUGUCAGUGACAUGCAUGAAUUUAUUGUCCUGGUUUUUGCAAGUGGUAUAGGAGUUUCUUCUAUUAAACAUAGAUUUUAGAGAGUAUCAUGAAGAAUCUUCACAUCAAGGAUAAUUAAUCCAUUUGUUUAUGGGUCUAUUACAUACACAUGUAUUUGUAGGUACCCAGUUUGUUCACUUAGUAAUAGUAAUGUUAGUAUUUAGAACAAUCGUGUGGAUAUUCUGAAAAGCAUAAAACACUAGUGCUACUUUGGUUUUUUAACUCAACAUAUCGUUUUUUACUUUUAAAUAUUUGGUCAUUUGAUUUCAUUACAGUCAAAUAAGAAAAAUAUUGUUCUUUGUGCUAAAUAAAUAUUAUGGUUGAAGCAGUUACUUUAUCACAUUGAUGAUGUUAUGCUAAGUUGGAUUCCAUCCAAAUGUUACUUGGACACUAUUAAACAACUCUAUGAUUGUUCUAUUUGAUUACUUACCUUCUCAGAUCAGAUCAGAUCAACAAGUUUCAGCAACAAAACCUUCCUCCUGUAGCUGAUCCUCUAUCAUCCCCAUUUAUAAUUGCAAACUACUGUCAUGUCUAGAUUGAUCCUUCUCUUCCUAACUCUGUUCUUGAAUAAGGCUAGCAACUUUUGAUGGUAGCUUCCUGCUCCUUGAUCAUGGUUAUCUCAACAUAUCACAUGGUUAGACUUGUAGCUGUGGCCAGAAAAAGAGAAAAAUCAGUGCACCAAGUCUGAGAAAUGCAGUUCCCCACACUAGGUGCAUGCUAAAAUGGUUCUCAAAGAUAUUUCUUCUGGGAAUUUUGCUAGGAGCAAUGACCCUCUACCAGGGAGCAAGAUUUGUGGUUAUAAGGAAGAAAAAGAAUCUGGAUGGUCUCCACUUUGGGACAGUUAGAUGCUUAGAACUUCAUAGUUUGACAGAUUGGGAUAAAACAGCAGAACUUGUGGCUGAAGAUAAGGUUUUGUCCCACAGUUCCUCAGAUGGAGAAUAGUUGCUGCAAGAAUAUUAUUGGAUUAUUGGAUGAGUACGGCUAGAAAGCCAUCAUGGGAAAUAAUGGUAAUGCUUCCUCAGGAAACAUCAUGCCCCAUCGUGCUCUGCUAAACCUCUAAAUUUAUGCACGUGAGGGUUUUAAAAGAGAAUAAAAUCUGCAGGGAGUGGAAGAAGUUUUUUUUCCCCUCUGGAAAUAUAGGGUAGCAGUAUUCAUGAAGAAGCAAGUUAAUAGUUAGAAGUGUCUUCGAGUGAGCGUUGAAAAGAAGCAAUAAAUGCCGUGAAGCUGCCUUUGGAUGCGUCUUCCGUUGUAUCCGCACUGUAUCCAGUAACGACUCUGAUCCGUGAAGAUUUUGUUGCGAACAAAAUGCCUCUAAAAUCUCUUAAUUUGCAAAUGGCUUAUGAAAGACAUGUGAAGAACCAUGGAUGUAAAUAAUUAACACCAGCUGGGUGAUCAUCUGACAGGAUAAACUAAUCCCCACUCCUCCCUCCUUUUGAUAUGUUCCAAUGGACCAACGCACGUCAGUCGGCUGACGUCGCCCUGUGUCUUCCCAAUGCAGAUUUGGUUAAUUUAAGCAGGUUUCAUCAUCAAACCAGAGAAGUCCAAGAUUCAAGGAAAUAAAAAUACAUUAUCCGCCCCAAUACUGAAUGCGGCAAGACUUUGAUUUGUUCCACACGGGUUGCAUCUGGUCCCUCCCAAUGAGGAUUAUUGUAAUGUAACAGCACACGAAAAAACUAAAAGAAUAAGAUUGUGAAGAGAUGGAUUGAUGUACCUCAUUCGGGGUUGCAAGUUCCCGUGGAAGGUAUAAACAAUGUAUGCCAUAAUUGGCUGUUGGGCGAUUGAUAUCAUUGUAUAGAAUACAAAAGGUACAAAUUUCAGCAUCAAGGCUUGCAAUGGCGACAGCUGAACAACAAGUGUCCUCAGGCAUACAUGCUCUCUACGGGUGUUCUCAGUCAUCCAAUGCUCCUCCAGUUAGAUUUAAUGUGUUGAACUGGUUUGAGCCACUUAACUAGCUAUGUUGGUUGAGGGUUGAUAGAGGACAAAAAUUGUUCAUUUGAGGUGAAUACAGUUUAGAUAAGGUGGGUAGCUAUCGUUGGAAAUGGAUGAGUUUGAUCCGAAGUGUUUGAUUUAUCUUUCUUAGGGGAGGAGAGACUAAGUGUGUGUUAUUUCUCUUAUUUCUUAUUUUUCCUAUAUCUUUCCUAUAAUAA